ACGAACGCUGGCGGCGUGCCUAAUACAUGCAAGUAGAACGCACAGUUUAUACCGUAGCUUGCUACACCAUAGACUGUGAGUUGCGAACGGGUGAGUAACGCGUAGGUAACCUGCCUGGUAGCGGGGGAUAACUAUUGGAAACGAUAGCUAAUACCGCAUAAUAUUAAUUAUUGCAUGAUAAUUAAUUGAAAGGUGCAAUUGCACCACUACCAGAUGGACCUGCGUUGUAUUAGCUAGUAGGUGAGGUAACGGCUCACCUAGGCGACGAUACAUAGCCGACCUGAGAGGGUGAUCGGCCACACUGGGACUGAGACACGGCCCAGACUCCUACGGGAGGCAGCAGUAGGGAAUCAUCGGCAAUGGACGAAAGUCUGACCGAGCAACGCCGCGUGAGUGAAGAAGGUUUUCGGGUCGUAAAGCUCUGUUGUAAGAGAAGAACGGGUGUGAGAGUGGAAAGUUCACACUGUGACGUUAUCUUACCAGAAAGGGACGGCUAACUACGUG
Molecule: ribosomal RNA, 504 nt
Filed under: uncultured bacterium
Lineage: Bacteria
Description: partial 16S ribosomal RNA
Rfam family: Bacterial small subunit ribosomal RNA
Source: RNAcentral